GGUUUUUCUCAAUAUUAUUAUAUUAAAAGGAGAUGAUUUUUUUUUUUAAGAGAGAGAGUCUGUAAAAGUUUUGGACAGGUUUUUAUUUUUUUUUUGGAAAAAAAAUGGAAUUGUGACGCUUUUCUUUCGAACAUUUGCGCGCGAAAUUUGAAUUUUUUCGAAUUUAUAUGAGUAUAUAUAUAUGAUAUAAAUAAUGGAUUGUAAUGGAAUUUCGAAAUUGUUUCAAGUUUGUUUCGAUCGAUUUUAGAAGUUAGAAUGGGAUACACGAUACACAUGGAGAAGCGUUGGCUCAAGGAACGUGACGUCUCGUUUAAAAGUAAAGCAAAGCGCGUCGAUGUAGAAACGUUUUACAAAGUGGUAGAAAGCCACUGUCGUAUUAACGCGAAGUAAUUCAGACAAGGUCGCGAGCACGAUUUAAUACACGAAACGUUAAAUCGUAAUUCGAACGUUACAUUCUACAAUUUAAAUAAUUUCUCUAAAUUCAAUAAAUAUUAUAUUGGAUGCAAUGUUUGUACUAUAAAUUUUUCUUCUCGAGUUUAAUUUAAAAAUUCUUGCAUAACAUUAGCUACGAGCAAAGUCCAUUUCACAAAAGAUAAAUAAAGAAAAAUAAACUCGCGCGAAUAAAUUAUUAAGCAAUUUAAAACGAAGCGAAUUCACACGUUACGCGAUUAGAAUUAAGAGAAAAUCGGACGUCAACUUGUAACGUGAAAAUGGUCAAUAUCGGGUUCGAACGCUGGGCCAUUAGGGCACAACGUCGAAACGGAUAAAUACGUGCUCUGGUAUAAAAACUGUGGAUGAACGGCUUUUUGUUCGUUGAGUGUAGCGUUGGUAAUAUAUAUACCGCGGGUCGAGAAACGCGGUAUCGUUAAAUACGGUCUAAUUUAUUGGGCCAAUAUCUAAAAGUCAAUAUUUGAGCGUUCAGUGGCUUCUGGACGCUACGUUCCAUUGCACACGUGCACGCAUUGUGCGCACGGCCGUUUCGGUGAAUUAUUUUGCUCGAUUGAUUCCAAAUAUUUCGAGCACGUCCGCCCCGAGUAUCAAGUUUCACGCCAAACCUCACCAAGAAUGCGAUCAACCGAUUUAAAUUUCACGGAGAAAAGGAAUUUUCGCGAGAUUGAAUUUGAAAUAUGUCGUCAAAAAAAAUAAAAAAAUAAAAAUAAUCAAUUUAAAUAAUAAUUCUAAUCUAACUUAAACUUAUAAUUUAAUACGAAACCAAGCAUUGAAUGGACAAUUUAUUUCAAGGACGGGGAAAUCAAUGAGGCGGUUUCAAUUCGAGAUAAUUACCGAAGAUAUUAUUAUCGAUCGUAGGUAAUAAAGAGUAAGAGUAUUCUCACAGUUCAUUACUUCGAUCGUUGAUCCCCGUUCAAAUUGUCCGCGAAAUGGGUAAACAAUCGGUUUCACCAUCGGCCAUUUUAUAAUACGACUCUAGUGGCACUCGUUUCACGACUCGAAAAGCGUCCAAUUCUUUUUUCACGAUACUGUAAUAAUCGCGUCUGGCCGGAUCGUAAAAGUUACGAGCUCUCCAUAUAAUUCUCGGUGAAUUUUAUCGGAAUAUUCUGCCGGUUAACUUUAACGCCCGAUUCCGUAUUUCGUGAACUCGAUUAUGAUUCUGGCAAUUGUCGAAAGUUGAAGUUUCAAAGUUCCUUGAAUUGUUAAUUGAAUUCGUAAUUUUAAUAGAAAUUUCGUGUUUUUUUUUUUUUUUAAGGCGCAAUUCGAAGCAUUUCGACGAAGAAAAAGAAAUCGAUGGAUUUUAAAGAGGAAAUUUCCGCAACGGAUUUAUUCGCCUUUACGAGUUUCCUUAUUUCCCGUAUCGUUAUCUUAUCUCUAUAUGUCUAUGGAAACAUUUUACGAGGAAAAAAUUAUCCAGAUAUUUUCACGAACAAAGAAUUCCUCUUCAACAUCUAUCGUCGAUUUUCUUUUCAAACUUGUUAUUGUGAGCUCGCCUUUGUAUUUAUUCUUCGUUGAAUCUUUCGUUCCCUUAUUGUCAAACAACUCGUGGAAACAAUCUGUCGCUUUCACUUCAGAAAUGCAAUUGCAACGAGUGAAACAUUGUCAAGGAAUUUUCUCUUCAAUUAUCGACUCCUUUAAUCUCGUCGGAUAUUAUUUUUCGUUUAGAAAGUUAUUCUUGUCUCCUAUUUCCGUUAUUUUCACGGUGACCGAUAAUAAACGUAAUAACGUAACGAGGAAUUAUUAUAUUAAUUUGUGACAAUAUUAUAUAUUAAUAACAAUUUAUUAGUGAAAGUAAAAUAUCUCUUUAAUUUUAAUAUAAAAAUAAUCUCUCGAAUUUUAAAGAAGAAUUCGAUCGAUCGUGCUUGAAAAUCGAAACAAAGGGAAGCUUCUUUCGAUCCAUUCCAGUUUAUCGAGACUGUAUUUUGCGAUCGAUCGACCGUGUCAAUUAUUUGUGCUUGCCGUGCAAACAGCAGACAGAUGCGCGUGGCGAGAACGACGAAGACGAAACGAGGAAGGCGCGUGACACACUCAUGACACGCUUGUGGCCACGCAUCGAGCAUUGUGCACUGGAAUCCGUCACAAAGCGGACGAACGCGACCCUCCUAGUGUUGAGCGCGUGUCUGAAACUCGGUGUACGCGUUUGGACACGGAGGAAAAUGGGUGGAAAAGUCGGGCUGAUUUGCGGCAGUUGCUGGUCCGGAAAGUACAAUACCUUUGGACUUCGUCGCGAUUUGCGCGUGUAAUUUCUAAUAAGUAUAACAACUUUUUGUCAUCAUGAAUUCGCCGCUUCCUCCUUUCACUGUAAAAUGAUUCUUAUAAUAUUGUGAUCUCCAAGAUGAAUAUAAUUUGGAAAUGUAUGAUGAAACAGGUAUGGAUAAACAGAAUUGAACGUGAAAGCAGAAUUUAGAAGUCAUGGCAAAGCAGUGAUUCGAAAAUAUGGACUGAACAAAUCUAGAGAUAUGAAAAAGGAGAAUGCAUGUUAAAAGGAGAAACUUGAGACAUCAACUUCAUCUUUCUUUGAACAAUUUUCGAAAAAGAAAUAUUUUUCUCCAAAGCAUUUAAGAGAAACUUUCUAAACAAAGACCUCGUUUGAAAACAGAGCACGCAUUCCAAACCUAUCUUGAUCAAUCGGUUCAUCAACGUCAACGUUUCACGGACAAAAUCGGAAUGAAAGGUCGUCACGUGUCAAAGCUGCUACGCUGAAUGCGAGAAAUGCAUCGAAAUGCCUAAAAAAAAAAAAAGGGAAAAAAAGGAAAGAGAAUCGUUUGAGAAUGGACCGCGGCAAAUUGUAGCCAUCUUUAAUGCACCGUCACGCAUUCCAUUCGCGAGAGAAAGAAUGUCGAGGAACCGUUCGCGACAUUCAAUCAAUUUUUCUAUUUAAUGUAUUCCAUUCCGAUGCAUUGAAGAAGAAUUUUCUUUUAAAGAAAAUGAACGUCAUCGUGCGUUCAUUGAUUAUGGAUUAAAUCGUUUGAUUGGUUUAGAAGAUAAAACGGAUCUGUCUUCAUCAACUCAAUUUAAUAUAUAAAGUUAUACGUUUCAACCGACAUUUUUGCAUAUCAAUUUUCAUAUUUGUUUUAUCUUAUGAGAAUCAAAUUAUAGUUUAAAUUUUGAAUUGCAAAGAUAGAUUGAUAUAACGAUUGAGACAUAUAUUUGAUGAAAAAAGUUGAAAGUAAAAUAAAUUUAUGUAAAAAUUUUCAAAGGAAGGAAAUGUGGAAAAUUAGGGGACUUGUAGAGUUUUCAACUCUGUAUUUCUUUCUCCAUCUUUUCCACGAUUUUUUUCCUCGUUCACAAAAAAACAAGGGAUGAAAUUUUCUACUCGAGCGCCGUCUGAAGUGGAGGACGAUAGGUCGAAGUGGAGAACAAUAGCUUAAAGUGAAGCUUUAAUAUGAUUUCUUAGGGACAACCGAGGAAAUUGAGUUUUUUAAGUGUGUAUCUUCGGUGUGGUCGAUAGAAAGUUGUUGAUUCUCCUUUUGUCCUGCUUCAGAUUUAUCCCGAUUUCUUCUGUUUUUCUUCCCUAAAUAGGUUCUCUUCGAAAUACAAUUUGUUUUAACGCAAUACUCGGUUGAAAGAAAAAAGCUUUCUUCUUUAUGCAAAAAAAUUUUCGACACACGUUUUUGUUAAAUAUUUAUAUUUACGCCAAUGAAAAGAAUAUAUAUGUGACU
RNAcentral lists this long non-coding RNA (4112 nucleotides) under Apis mellifera (honey bee). Its description in RNAcentral is "uncharacterized LOC102654016". The record is from RNAcentral. Lineage: Eukaryota; Metazoa; Arthropoda; Insecta; Hymenoptera; Apidae.